Non-coding RNA from Podarcis lilfordi (Lilford's wall lizard), 6393 nucleotides. Lineage: Eukaryota; Metazoa; Chordata; Lepidosauria; Squamata; Lacertidae. The record is from the annotation of a GenBank genome assembly.
AAGAGAAAAUCUUUAUUAAAUCUCAUAUUUAAUACAUCAGCAUUUUACACCCAAAGUUUAUAGAGCUUAACUCAUGUCGACUCUAACUGUGCUUGGGAUGGAAACCUUCAGUUCCUGCUGCGAAUAUCUUUCCCAUUUCCAACAACGCAAAAGAUUUGUUGCACAAAAAGUGGACAUUGCUAGAUAGACAGAAGGCGAGCCCAAGCAGGGGCCGAAGAGGGCCAGCCCUGCUUUCCCCAUAUAUGACGUCCACCCCCCACUGCCGCCCCUCCCGUCCAAGUCUGCAGCGCCUUGGGAGCCGGAGCAGGAGGAGGCCACGGCGGGGGGCGCGUGGAACUGGAACGCAGCACCGCCUGGCGAAAUAACGCCCGCCGGGCAACGGACGGCGGCGCCCACCCUCCGACGGCGCGCCGGGAAGAGCGGCCGCACCACGCAGAGCAGCCGCCCGGCGGCCCGGACGUCGCGGCUGCCUGGACAAUGGCGCCCCGCGGCUGCCACACGGACUGCGUGGAGCGGCCCCUGUCGCGCGCGCUCCGCUCCUUCGGCGCCUUGGUGGGCGCGCAUCCGUGGCCCUUCCUGCUGGCGCCCGUGGCGCUGACCGUCGGGCUGGGCACGGGCUUCGUGAUGCUGAGCAGCCGCGAGGCCAACGACAUCGAGGGCCAGUACACGCCCGUCGGGGGCCCCGCCAAGGCGGAGCGUCGCUUUAUCCGGACGCACUUCCCGACGGACGACGCGCGGCGCUUCUCCCCGCAGAGGCUGAGCACCGAGGGCUCCUUCGCCUCCUUCAUCGCCGUGGCCUCCGCCUCCGGGGGCAGCGACUCGGUGCUCACCAAGGCGGCCUUCACGGAGCUGCUGGAGCUGGACUCGGCGGUGCGGGCCAUGACCGCCGGCGAGCGAAACUUCGCGGACCUCUGCGCGCGCUGGAACAACACUUGCCUGAGCCCCAACCCGCUGAUCACCGCCGUCGAGGGCGACGCGGCCGCCAUAGAGACGCUGCUGCCCGCGCUCACCUUCCCGCUCUACCAGAGCCACGUGUUCCUGGGCUACUUCCUGGGCGACGUCGUGCUGGGCCCGGGAAAUGGCACCGCGCGCCCCGUCCGGGCAGCCCGGGCGAUGCGCCUCGUCUACUUCUUCCAAGAGGACGGAGCUUCGCAGCGACAGGCCAGCAAGGUCUGGAUCGAGACCUUUCUGGAGCGCAUCCCCGUCGUGCUGGGCACUAUGAACCUCCAUUUCACCCGGGUAAGCGCCGCGCGUGCACGUCUCGGGAGGCGCGCAGCUCCGGGCAGACCGCUUUGCGACGGCGCUGCCUUGUGCUCCGCAGUUGCGCCCUUAGUUUUGAUAAAAAGCCGUCGAGGUUCUCAAGCGUGGGUUGGCUUUCCUCGCCCGAAAGGCUCCUAGGGCAAUAGAAGCAGGAGGACAGGCCCUGCCCCAGCCUUGCCAUCCAAAAGCCGGGACGGAAAAGGGAUGCGGAGGAAGCUCAGAGCUGCGCUGACUCUGUGACUUAUAUGUUAGGAUGGGGCUAGCUAGCACCUGCAGGAUGCAACCCUCCCCUUGCAUAACAAUAUAAUAUCGAAUUUAUAUGCCUACAGCCAAGGGUGCCAACUUCAAUAAAAUAUUGUGGGGCCCAGGUAAAUAGACAUCAGAGGGCUCUUCAGGCCUGAGAUCAGAGUCCAGCGUUAUGAUUAAGAUGCACGUGGGUGCCAUGACUCUAACCUCAAAAAUACACAUUUUAAAAAUAUGCAUAUCCUUUAUUAAAGAAUGGCUUGGUGCUCUGAAGGGGAGCAGUGGAAGAUGAGCGACCACUGGAAACCUUCCCUCCCUCCAUACCCAGAAUGAGCAAAGGCAGAGCUUUAAAUCAGACCACCCUCAACCUUUUAGAUUAUAUUAAACUAAUAUGGAAGAAGAAUUCUUUUUUUAGGCUUCAGUCCUAUGUCCGCUAAACAUGGAAGUAAAAUGUGAUGUACUUCUCAGUGGACACAUGUAGGGUUGCUGAAAUUAAACAGGCUUGAAAAAACUGGGCAGAGAGUUUUUUUAAUUAUCGUGCAAAAAGUAUUUCCAUGGAAUGAAGUUGCCAUUUCUGGAGCUUCCAACUAACUGUUGUUGUUGUUGUUGUUGUUGUUGUUGUUUACAUAAUGCAGUGAAGGAAAUUACAAUAUAACCAUUCAUUUUAUGAUUUUUCUUAGCCAGCCUUGAUACCCUCCAGAAUAUUAAGCUACAUCUUAAGAGAUCUAUUAUGCAAUAGUUUGUCUUAUUCUUUCUUUCCUCACUUGGCAGGUGACCUAUUUUUCCUCAGAAUCCAGACAGAAAGAAUUUGGAAAAAUUACCAAGCGCGUGAUCCCAUUGGUUUCUGUCACAUAUUUUUUAACAAUAUUCUUUUCCAUUGUAUCAUGUGCAAGGUAAUCUCCCCACCUUAAUUCUUUGGAGAGGGAGGGAAAAUCCCUGUCCCCCCCCCACCCCACCAUCACAGGUAGAUCUGCAAUAUGCACUAGCUAAGUGAAGUAUUGUAGAUGGAUAGAUCUGCUUAAAGAAAUCCCAGUACAGUGGUACCUCGGUUAAGAACUUAAUUCGUUCUGGAGGUCCGUUCUUAACCUGAAACUGUUCUUAACCUGAGGUACUUUAGCUAAUGGGGCCUCCCGCUGCUGCCACACUGCUGGAGCACGAUUUCUGUUCUCAUCCUGAAGCAAAGUUCUUAACCCGAGGUACUAUUUCUAGGUUAGUGGAGUCUGUAACCUGAAGCGUCUGUAACCCAAGGUACCACUGUAUUGAAAGCUAAUUGGGAAAGUGUCACUCAGCAAAUGAAGUGAAAGUCUCAUGAAAAACACUGCAGCAAAAUGGAGUCAGAGAUCUGGCCCAAAUGUAGGCCUACUAUGUAGAGUGAAGCCCACUAGUAGACGGAAGAGGCAAUGUUCUCAAUAGCUAGAGUGGCUUGUUCACUCUCUGUCAGUUUCAAUUUCUCAAAGUUACUGUUUCUGUUUAUUCCUCCCCACCCCCACAUAAUAUUUUCUUGAUUUAGUAUGUAUUUUUGUGUUCUUAUAUUGUGAACUCCCCUGUGAUCAUUGGGUUGAAGGGCGGUAUAUACAUUUAAUAAAAGUUAAUAAUAAAAAGUGCAAUAAUAACAAAAAUAAAACAAAUUAAAAAUGUAACCUAUGAAACGUCACAGCCCGUAAAAACCAAAGGACAAAGGUACAGCACAGUUCCAAAGAGAUAAUAAAGUGUUAACCCAUACAAAGGUUUCCUUUACAAAUCAUAAAGAUAAGUUUCUUAAAAAUGCAAGUAUUCGCCAUCUGUGAACUCCAUCAUUAUUAAACCCUAGAGUAUUUCUAUUUCUUACAGUUGUAAGAAAUACGUGCAACUGCUGUGUGGCACUGUCAUUUUGUUCAAGGAAGCUGCAAAUUGGCACAUUACCACGGAACUCUGAACCCAAACAUAAUUCUUCUUUAUCUGCUUUACAGGAUGGAUUGUGUACGGACAAAAAUUUGGAUUGCAAUUUUUGGGGUGAUGUCAGCAGGAUUAUCUGUCGUCAGCAGCUUUGGAUUACUGCUGUUUUGUGGGGUGCCAUUUGUUAUCACAGCCGCAAAUUCACCCUUUCUUAUACUUGGUAAGUGUAUACAUUCCUCAUGCCUUCUUAUCCAUUGGGCUUUUGAUGGGUGUGCCUAAAGUAGGUAUUGGGCAGUAAUUCCAUAUAAAUCUGUGAUCGCUUGGAGAAUUUAAUGCUAAUUCUUGUUUUUUUAUUUGAAAUUGCAUAAGCAGAAAAGUUUUAUAUCACAUGUGUUGCAGGGGGCGGGGCCAGAUGUCUCUUCCAAUCUCUUCCAACACUAUAAUUCUAUGAUGCUAUCAAUGGGCAUAUGCAAACAUUUUUCAUCACAUGCCUUCAAAACAUUUAUUAGCAAAGGGCAGAUCUAGACUUGAUUGCUCCUCCUACAGGAGGGGAAUGUGGCCAGAAUGAAAACUUGUGUGGAACAAGGAAAGCUUGCUUUGUGUGCAGUGCAUUUACGCAAGCCAAUGCUUUUCCAUCCCUGCUGUUAUAAAUUCCUGAACGUUCUUUGUAAAGCACUCAAAUAUCAUUUUAUAAAGAAAAGUAGGUUUCCGAUUUGUAAAUACAGCCGUACCUCGAUUCUCAAAUGGAAUCCAUUCCAGAUUCCGAAACUGUUCAAAAACCAAGGUGCGGCUUCUGAUUGGCUGCAGGAACUUCCUGCAGACAAUCGGAAGCCGCGUCGGAUGUUCAGGUUCUAAAGAAUGUUCGCAAACCAGAACACUCACUUCUGGGUUUGCAGCAUUCGGGAGCCAAAACGUUUGAGUCGCAAGGCAUUCGAGAACCAAGGUACCACUGUCAGUAAAUGACUAGGUGUGUUUCCCUAGUAAAUAUCCAUAUUGUUCUCCUAUGGCAUGUUUGGAACUGGUAUGUUAAAUAUUUUUCUAUUCUUCAGGGGUUGGUGUUGAUGACAUGUUCAUCCUCGUGUCCUGCUGGCAGCAGACUAAAGUGAAGAAGGGAGUCACAGAACGGAUGGCUGACACCUAUGCAAAGGCAGCUGUCUCCGUUACCAUCACAACACUUACCGACGUUUUAGCCUUCUACAUUGGAGUUGAAAGUUCCCUUGUGUCUAUUCAGUCAUUUUGUUUGUAUACGGGCACAGCUUUUGUGUUCUGCUACAUCUACAACUUGACUUUCCUUGGGGCAGUUCUUGCUCUUAAUGGCCGAAGAGAAGAAAGCAACAAGCAUUGGCUCACAUUCAAGAAAGUGAUGGAUAAGCCGCAGGAUUCAAAGAGCCGUAUGUAUAACAGGUGCUGUAUAGGAGGGGCUUUCGACGAGUCCACUGGAACAGAGACUGAACAUCCCAUGUAUGGCUUCUUUAGAAAUCACUAUGCCCCCUUCCUGAUGCACACCAGGACCAAAUUGUCUGUGGUAGUCCUGUAUCUGGCAUACCUGGUUAGUAGUGUUUACGGGUGCAGUCAACUUAAAGAAGGUAUAAAUGUUCGACACCUAGCUGUAGAUCGUUCUUAUGUCGUUGCGUAUUAUGACUCAGAAGAAAAACAUUUUACUGAGUAUGGCCCAAGGCUCAUGGUUGCUGUUACAGAAAGCAUACCAUAUUGGAAUUCAUCUGUCCGUGCAAAUCUUGAGAACUGCAUGCAGUUGUUUGAGGAGUCCUCCUAUGUGGAUAAGAGAUUAUCGGAGUCAUGGCUGAGAACUUAUGAAAUGGUUGCAAAAGGGGCAUCUUUAAAUUUAGAUGACCGUACGUCAUUUAUGACUAACUUAAAGACUCUUUUCCAAGCAAAUCCAGAGUAUGAGUGGGAUGUUAAUAUUAGUGCUACUGAAAUAGUUGCAUCACGGUUUUUCAUACAAACCGUCAAUGUUACUACUGCAGUACAUGAGAAAAAUCUUUUAAACCAAAUGAGACAACUUGCUGAGGACUGUGAGACGCCACUAUUGGUUUAUCAUCCAGCUUUUAUAUAUUUUGAUCAAUUUGCUGUAAUAAUGGAAUACACCAUUCAAAAUGUUUUGAUUGCUGCUGGUGCCAUGUUAGUAACUUCCUUGCUGCUCAUCCCCAAUCCUCUUUGCUCUCUGUGGGUAACAUUUACUAUUGUAUCCGUUUUUGUCGGUGUUACUGGUUUCAUGGCCCUCUGGAAUGUGAAUCUUGACUCCAUAUCUAUGAUCAACCUUGUUAUCUGCAUAGGGUUUUCAGUAGACUUCUCUGCUCAUAUUUCCUAUGCCUUUGUUUCCAGUGAGAAACCCAAAGUGAACGACAAGGCAGUGGAAGCUCUCUACCGCCUUGGUUUCCCUAUCCUACAGGCCGCUGUUUCCACCAUUGUGGGCAUCCUGGUGCUGCCCAUGUCAUCCACUUACGUCUUUAGAACCUUUUUUAAGAUAAUGUUUCUAGUUAUUUUUUUCGGGUCUCUUCACGGUCUCGUUUUUAUUCCUGUAUUUUUAACGUUCUUUGGGUUUUGUGGUGAAGUUUCAAACAAAGAGGACCAAAACGAUAGCAAGGGCAUUGAAAAAUCACCCAGUGUUUAAGGAAAACAUUGUUCAUAUGGAAACAAGAUUGAGGAACUCCAUUUUCUAGAAGGAAAUGUUAUGGGGAAACUGAGGUUUUAGAAUGAAAAAUGGAACUAGUGAUUGUGAACAUGGAAGGAAAAACCAUAAUCAAUCUAUAUUGCCUGUAAAUAGCUUGUUAAAUUGAAGGAAUAUGUUCAGUUGUUCCUUACGUUCCAUAGCUAUCUAAUCUUCCUGUUUAUGUUAUGUAAAUACAUUACUUGGUGUAAAAUUUUCACUUGAAAUGUGUUGUGGUUUGUUACAAGACUCCAAAACAAUACAUGUUUAUUAAGCAAAGCAUAUUUCAGUCAUUUGCUGAUAGUAUGGUACACCCAAAAUAAAUUAAUGUGGGAUAGAGAUUGCUC